CUUUAUUCAUAGAAUGUGGGUUAUUUCAGGCCCCUCUGAUCUAGCCUGAAUUCAUGUGCACACAGACUGUACAAUUUCAGAAACCUUGCCUAUUCUUUUCUCUGUUUUUGCUGGCUGUUUAGUAAAUAUACUGCAUCUCCCCAGAAAAUUUGUUUUUCUUACACAUCAAUAUGUAGGCAUUUCCCUAAUAAUUUUCAUCUUUUUUUUUAUAUCUUGUUUUACUGCAGGCUGAGAUUCUUUAGAUCAUACAGAUUUUCCAGUCUGGAGGUGAGAUAGCACUGGAACAACAAAUGGAAAUGAAGGAUACCUGCAACCUCCCUAAGCUACACUUUGGCAGCCCCCAUUGAAAUGACACAGGGCGCAGACCCUUCUUGUCACCAGCACUGCUGCCAGCACUUCUGGCCCUAUGCAGAGCAUGGAAGAGUUCCCACUGACAGCAAGGGGAUCUCUGAUGAUAUAUUCUCACCAGUGUGCAUAGUGUGCAUGGUUUUGUGGAGCACCUGAGGCUGUGUGCCAUGGAUGGUUUCUGCAGACUGAAUUUACUGAAUGUGCCUCACAUUCUACCCCAGCACCCAGUCUACAGUCCUCAGAAAGGCUGUCUGGAGAAGAACAGUGUGGAAAUACAAGUUAAUAAGAUAAAGAAAAAGCAUAAGGAAGACAGAAGAACGUAAAAGUUGUGACAGAGUCUCCAACUUGCAGAGGGCUUGUGCAUACUCCCUUGUAUGCUUUACUGGAAAAUAAAUAGCUUGGAGUUUGCA
This 758-nucleotide long non-coding RNA is filed under the name Cyanistes caeruleus (blue tit). RNAcentral's name for it is "lncRNA (ENSCCEG00000016648.1)". Lineage: Eukaryota; Metazoa; Chordata; Aves; Passeriformes; Paridae. The record is from RNAcentral.